RNAcentral lists this long non-coding RNA (940 nucleotides) under Columba livia (rock pigeon). Its description in RNAcentral is "partial uncharacterized LOC102085496". Lineage: Eukaryota; Metazoa; Chordata; Aves; Columbiformes; Columbidae. The record is from RNAcentral.
AAAUCAACAUCAGCGGCUGCCAUGCCUGGACAAGGGCGCUCAUCUCUGGCAGGAUCUCCUUGGAAACGCUGGUUGUAGAAAGCCAUUCCCUCCCCAACAGACAGCACACGUGUACACUGAGCUUCAUGUGAUUACCCAGCAACAAAAUCUGCUUCCAUGGGUGCAUGAGCGGGAGGUCCAGGAGCACUGAGCUGUGCCAAGAACCAGCCAGAACAGUGGAGGAGAUGAGUCAGCUAAAAGAAAAGAGGUUUUUCCUACUGUUGUUUGCCCUUCAGAUGCAGAACCUCUGCAGCAAUGAACAUAACACCCUACACCUACGAAACAGCCCAAAGCAAAAGAAACACCCAAGCAUGGGGAGAGGAACAGGCACAGCCCUUUCCAGGUGUUUCCCAUGUCUGUUCCCAGAAACGACAAAGUUUCUUGACUCUGCCGUGGACCUUCUCCUGCCCCACACCUCGCUGAGACCUGGCUGGGCUUUCACCUCCAUCUCAACACACAGAGUUUACCUCCUUCAUCUGUUCCAUUAAUGUGGGGAGCAAAGGAUACACCUUGCCAACAAGCCAGAUCCUGGGACUGUUUCUCCUGAACAUCUCUGUUGCAAGCAGCUGGUACACACUAUAAGAAACCCCUUUUUCUUCUGCAGUCAACUAUCCAAUCAAUCGUUAACACUUCAUUUCCCCAUAGGAUGGGGGCAGCAUCAUGGGCUACAACGACUGUUGCACACAAGUAGCCAAGCACAUACGGAUGUGUUUGGGAAGACAGGUAUUUAGGAAACUCACCCUGUCUCUAUGAACUACAUUGAAAACAUGUGGAAUAGCUUUUAUUAACUAUAAAGAGCCUGUUAUAGAAAGCUGCACAUAUUGCAUAACGAAUAAAAAAGGGUCAGUGAUUUACUGUAUUUUUAAAAGCCCUAGCUGCAAAAUAUUAGCAUAUACAAAUA